UAAAAGACAGUUUGUGAGCAUCCCAUCCAUUCAAUGAUCUCGCACUUUAUCCAGAACAAAGGAGAAAGUGGCCCUCCCGAAUUAGUGGUGAAACAAUAGCAUACCUAGAUAUUUUCCCAAAUCAUCCCCUCGAAGGAACCCCAAAUUAGUACAAAGAUGUGCAGUUACAUCCUCCUUUACACUGUUCAAGAAAAAUACUUGAGUUUUCUAUAUA
RNAcentral lists this long non-coding RNA (214 nucleotides) under Gossypium barbadense (sea-island cotton). RNAcentral's name for it is "long non-coding RNA (GBAR_LNC021065)". The record is from RNAcentral. Lineage: Eukaryota; Viridiplantae; Streptophyta; Magnoliopsida; Malvales; Malvaceae.